GAAUCCCGUCUUUGACACGGACUACCAGUACAUUGUGGUGCGCUCUCGAAGAGUCGAGUUGUUUGGGAAUGCAGCUCAAAAUGGGUGGUAAAUUCCAUCUAAAGCUAAAUAUUGGGGAGAGACCGAUAGCGAACAAGUACCGUGAGGGAAAGAUGAAAAGCACUUUGGAAAGAGAGUGAAACAGUACGUGAAAUUGUUGAAAGGGAAACGCUUGAAGUCAGUCGCGUCGGCCGAGACUCAGCCUUGCCUCGGCUUGGUGUACUUCUUGACCGACGGGUCAGCAUCAAUUUUGCCCCUUGGAUAAUGGCGAGGGAAAUGUGACACCUUUAUAGGUGUGUUAUAGUCUCUCGUCGCAUGCAAGGGUCGGGAUUGAGGAACUCAGCACGCGCCUUCGGGCGUCGGGGCCUUGCCCACGAUACGUGCUUAGGAUGUUGGCGUAAUGGCUUUAAACGACCCGUCUUGAAACACGGACCAAGGAGUCUAACAUGCCCGCGAGUGUUCGGGUGGAAAACCCGUGCGCGCAAUGAAAGUGAAAGUUGGGACCUCUGUCGCGGAGGGCACCGACGCCCGGACCAGAGCUUCUGCGACGGAUCUGCGGUGGAGCGUGUAUGUUAGGACCCGAAAGAUGGUGAACUAUGCCUGAAUAGGGUGAAGCCAGAGGAAACUCUGGUGGAGGCUCGUAGCGAUUCUGACGUGCAAAUCGAUCGUCAAAUUUGGGUAUAGGGGCGAAAGACUAAUCGAACCAUCUAGUAGCUGGUUCCUGCC
This 765-nucleotide ribosomal RNA is filed under the name uncultured Russula. Its description in RNAcentral is "partial 28S ribosomal RNA". It matches the Rfam family "Eukaryotic large subunit ribosomal RNA", at positions 216 to 962 of the family's 3401-position model. Lineage: Eukaryota; Fungi; Basidiomycota; Agaricomycetes; Russulales; Russulaceae. The record is from RNAcentral.